GUCUCAGGCCGUAUCAGGCCUGAAGGCGCCCGAUCUCGUCUGAUCUCGGAAGCUAAGCAGGGUCGGGCCUGUUUAGUAUCUUGGAUGGGAGACCACCUGGGAAUCCCGGGUGCUCGAGGCU
Molecule: ribosomal RNA, 121 nt
Organism: Bison bison bison
Lineage: Eukaryota; Metazoa; Chordata; Mammalia; Artiodactyla; Bovidae
Source: Ensembl